AUUGGAUAGAACCAGGUUUAAAUACCAUGAGAUCUCAAAUCUGUUAGAUCUGCAUAAAAACAUGGUCUCCUGUAUCUCAUUUCCAGGUGAAAAAACCCGCUUCGCAGUGUAUUUGAACAGUUUUUCACUGAGCGUGCACUUGCAUUCUUAUAUUAAAGGCAUGUUAAAGGUGCAAUUCUGCCUUUCAACUGUUGCUCCCAAUCUGGUGUCAAAAUAGAUUCUGAGGGUAGUUUUUGCUCCUUAUGUUGGGUGAAGAAGGAAAGUUAGAGUUUGCCAUUUCCUCCGACCCAGGAUGGGGCUCCGUGUGACUCUGCCCUAAAGGGGAGGGCUGUAAACAGGGUGAAAUCAAAACUAGUUUCAAAGUACAGCUGACUCAUGGGAAUGCUCUUUCACUUUUCAUCUUAGUUCCUUUAUGCAUUCUUCUGAGACUCUCAGUGUGGGUUAAAUGUUUACAAGUAGGACCAGAACUGCAAAAGAAUGACUCCGAAAAUAACAUGGUCUGUGCAACGAUCUUGUUGCGCUGCACCACUGAAUGUUUAACUGAUUGCUCAGCCAUAACAUUUAGAUAGGAAGACAAGUUCAAAUUUACUAUUCCACAGCAAGAAGGAAACCAAAUUAAACAUGAGGCCAAUUCUGAGAUCAAAGCUGCUCAAGAAGUACAGACUGAAAUCAGCAAGCUCAUACAUUUAAAACAGGUUGAAAAGUUCCACCAUUACAAGCCUGAUGAUACCUGCUGAUGAUACAAGCCUGAUAUGUCUUACAUAUCCUUGCAUUCCUCUGAGGUUUUGUUCUGUAUGGCAGCAGUAGGGCAAGGGAACAGGGAAAGGACAGACACAAGUCCAUUUGGAUGGCUGCCAGCACUGGGAACCGAGGCACAGGGGUGUGCGGUCCUUCCCAUUCCGUCCAGUUCCACUGCACCUCCCAGUGCGGCUCUCACCUUGGAAGAUGGGAUGGAGCUGAAGGCCCGAGGUGAAGGAUUCAUUCAGGAGAAGAAAAAGAACUGGAGUGUGGCAGCAGUCUCAGGCGGACAGCAGUGCUGCUAGCUGCCAGCUCCCAGCUGAGCCCCAGGUCUCGCUCCAGCCAUGAGGGGGGAUCCCCAGCCUACAGCCCAGGGCUCAAAUCCCCCUUUAAUGUACAAUGUGGAGAAACUGAAACAGAAAGGGAAGAAAUGCUGUCCAUGGUUAUACGGCAUGCUGAUGACAGAGUUCCUCCUUAUAGCCUGAAGACAUGGCAGAUUUACAGACUGGUUCAGUUCUUCAUUUCUGGAAGGGGUUAAGGGUGUUGUAAACACUGUUGCCCAGAUGCCAUGCUAUUUUACAUGGAGGGGACUACCAUCAAUUCCCACAGCAGUGUAUUACAGUCAAAUAGAACUCAUCUUAAUCAAAGAUCUGGACACAGCUUCUGCUAUUGAAAAUCAACAGGACUACAGUUUGACAAGUAAUCAUUUCAACUCUGAAUGAAAACCAGCAAAAAGAAGCAAGAGAAUUCAUGAAAGAGGAUCUCUGCCAUUACUUCUCUCCUGGGCUAUUAGAGAUUCAUUUGCCCCUCAUCCAUCUGUAUUUCAUGGGCUUCCCAUAUGCUUAAUGCAUUAACUGGGCCUGCCAGUAGGGUACCAACUGGUUUAUGUUUCCUGGGAGAAUUUCCCGUGUUAACUUUGCUUCCAGUCAGGCUGCCAGGCAGCCACAUGCUGGUCUAAGCAACCUCGUCAUACUUAAGGGGAUUGUAGGCCAAAGAGGAACAUGAAUAACUGAAGAGCUACUUCCCAGGCUCCUCCAACAGGCACUGCAGUGUUCCCAAGAGAAAGAAGCUGAAGACAUCAUUCAGAGGCUUUGAAGAUCUGGAUUAUUUUUAUGGAGCACUGACCACAAUAGACUGACCAAUAAAGUCUAGGCCCUGGGCCCUAUCUUCAACUGAAGGGCAACCAGUCCUUCCAGCAGUACGAACUGAACUGCUAAAGUAAGGUAAAGGGAGCUUAGAACUACCCUCAAAGCUAGCGAAUCCCUGCUGCCAUAAAGCUGCCAUAGCCUGUUCAGUGCCAUCUGCUCCUCCAUUCUUUCCAGAGGAUACUGGUGAAAUUGCUGAGGGGAUGGGGCAUAGGUAAACACUUAUGGACUCAGUAUAGCUGUUAUCAUUAAAAGCACCCUUUAUGGACACUAGACUGACACUGCGGGCUGGUUUUGACAGACCCACGGACCAGGCCUGGCAGGAGCACAGAGGUGAUUCAGAGCCAUGCUAAUCCAACAUCUUCAUUCUAUGAAAACAUGAGAAUCAAGCCGGCACAGUGAAAUAAUGACAGCCUAUUGCAGUUAUUUAUUACCUCAUUUUCAAACAAAAAUACACCACGCAGAUAUUUCAAUUAUAAAAAGACAAACCAUUCACUCCUGGGAAGAGCCUGUCACUUGAUCUGUGAGUACAACGUUUUGUGCAUGGUAACAGAUUAAUGGCGUCUAUCCACAGUGGUUUUAGGAGCUGCCUGCACAUUUAGGUUCUUAGUAUCCUCCUGGCUGUAAUUUCAGUAUACACAGUCCCAAAUCCCUACCGUGCCUGCUCUGUUUAGAAAGAUGUCAGUGUCCAUGGUCUCACGGACAGUUGUGCAAUAGGUCUCAUUUUUGCUGCAUGUUCUCACCACAGCAGGAAACAGUAAAAGCCAUCUGGGAAUGCGGGUUGUACAAAAGAAAAAAGGAAGACAGAAAAACAGUGCUUGUGCGAAAUCAAUGGCCAGCCAGGUGACACAGCAGCCUACACUGUAAUUGAAGCAAUGUAAAUUGAAGAACAGAUGUCAGAUGCAUGAAAAGGCCACCAUAGAUGCAGAACACAAGAAAUGUUAGCAUAAAAUGCCAGGACUAAAGCUAAAUGCAAAGGAAAUACCGCUUAGAUGUAUGCACAUGCAUUCACAAAAAGUUCUGGUGGGACCAUGUAUAUACAGUGUAUUGCAACAAAAUGAUACCCCUUACCUGUGCAUUUUAACAAGGCCAAAAGCAGCUGAUUCUUCCCAU
Long non-coding RNA from Cygnus olor (mute swan), 2996 nucleotides. RefSeq lists it as uncharacterized. The record is from RefSeq and is a predicted model, not a curated record. Lineage: Eukaryota; Metazoa; Chordata; Aves; Anseriformes; Anatidae. The transcript is spliced from 7 exons.